RNAcentral lists this long non-coding RNA (408 nucleotides) under Nicotiana benthamiana. RNAcentral's name for it is "long non-coding RNA (NBEN_LNC004848)". Lineage: Eukaryota; Viridiplantae; Streptophyta; Magnoliopsida; Solanales; Solanaceae. The record is from RNAcentral.
CCAAUGUUAAAAGUUUCCUUGUCCUCAAGGAAGGAAAGAAGGAAAUCGCACCAUGAGAGAGUGAUACUCUUCCCAAGUGGUCUGCUCUGGAGGUAGUUGAUCCCAUUGUAUGAGGACUUGAGUGACAGCCUUGUUCCUUUUUGAACCAAACGUUAAUCAAGGAUUUUGUGGGGGCUUGGACAGUAUGAGACAGGAGGGUGAGAGAUAUGGGAGGGUAAGUUAUGGCAUAAUUUGAGUUGGAAAACAUGUAAGGUGAGGUGGAUGAGCAGCUGGGUUGGGAGGUAAAGCUUUUAUGCUACAGAACCAAUUUUUGUAAGACUAGGUAUGGGACAUAAUAUUUAGCUGAUAAUGUUACUUGCCUGUAGGGUUGGAUUUUAUGGUACACCCAGUCUCCCACUUAGAACUGCC